RNAcentral lists this ribosomal RNA (564 nucleotides) under Hoplocneme sp. NZAC 03037659. RNAcentral describes it as "partial large subunit ribosomal RNA". It matches the Rfam family "Eukaryotic large subunit ribosomal RNA", at positions 329 to 698 of the family's 3401-position model. The record is from RNAcentral. Lineage: Eukaryota; Metazoa; Arthropoda; Insecta; Coleoptera; Curculionidae.
CGAGACCGAUAGCGAACAAGUACCGUGAGGGAAAGUUGAAAAGCACUUUGAAGAGAGAGUUCAAGAGUACGUGAAACCGUUUAGGGGUAAACCUGAGAAGCCCGAAAGGUCGAAGGGAGAAAUUCAUUCGCGUUUCGUCGCCGACGUUGGGCGGUCGUGUGACGGGGUACGUUCGCGUUUCCCGCACCUUCCGUCUCUCGAAUCGGAGACGUACGCGUGCACUUUUCUCCUGGUAGGACGUCGCGAUCCGUUGGGUGUCGGUCUACGGCUCGCGGUGGAGCCCGUCCGUCGACUCACGUCGUACGGACGGACCCGCGUGUCCCGGCUGACUCGCCUGACGGUAUACGAAAGGUUUAAGGCCGCUCUUGGAGCGUUCGGCUCGCGGCAAGCGCGCCAGAUGCGUCGGCGAUCGGACCUAGUGCCGAUUCUGACCUCUGGUGACUGUUGGCCGUGAAGUUCUCGAACAGACCUUAGGACCGAUCUGCGACGCUAUAGCUUUGGGUACUUUCAGGACCCGUCUUGAAACACGGACCAAGGAGUCUAGCAUGUGCGCGAGUCAUUGGG